UCAGACAGUGUGUGCUCUCCAGGGAUCAGCUGCCAGAGGAUCCCUGCACAGCACCAGGGUGGGCAUCUUCAGUCUUCUUACCACACCAGUACACUAAAAAUCAUGCACUAGGAGGGAAGGGCUGCUCUUAUUCCCUUUUUACAAGCAGAGAAAGAUGAUAAUAAUUUGCAGAAGUGCUCAUAACUAUUAUUAUUUAUUAUUUUCACUGUGAUAGCAUCUAUGAACAGUCUGUGGCAGAGCUGGAAACAGAAUCUAGCUCUUGUGAGCUUACCAGUCAAGUGCCAAAACCACAAGUCCUUCCUUCCUCCCACACUGCAUGUAUUUGUAAAGAAUUAUGCUUUAAAAAAAAAAAUAUUAACUGCUACAGCAGUGUUAACUCUCGUACUCCCCCUCCCCUGAAAUAUUCUGGUAUUUGGUCUAGGAAAUUAGAUUUUAAGGGGAUUUUCUUUGUAUUUUUUUCCCUGUAGAUCAAUUUAAUGUUUUCUCCUUUGAAAAGCCCACAAAUGGAGGAAAACAAUUACCACAACACACAUGCACAUUCCUAGCAGUUACUCAUAUGCUCAUAUUCACACAUUCAUGUGCACAUAGUCACAAAAUUCAACCUGUAGAAAACAUUGAUUUCCAGGGUACUCUCAGCUGGUGACUGAUCAAAUGCUAAAAGCAUUUAACCUCUCUCACACUCUACAAAACAAGUAAGAGGAAGUGAGAAAAAAAAAAAAAGAAACUAGCAAAGUUUUAAACAAUGGAGUCAAACAAAAAGGUCUGUGUAAGGUUUUUUAACCACGAGCACAACAAAAUAUUCUCAUAGACAAGUCUAAUCUUCCAAGAGAAAUUUUAACCACUACAGCCUGAAUUGUUAAUUGGUUCCUUGAAUUUCUGUUCAUGAGAACUGAACUACAGGUUAGUACCAG
Prinia subflava (tawny-flanked prinia) is the source of this 911-nucleotide long non-coding RNA. RefSeq lists it as uncharacterized. The record is from RefSeq and is a predicted model, not a curated record. The transcript is spliced from 3 exons. NCBI's taxonomy places the organism in Eukaryota, Metazoa, Chordata, Aves, Passeriformes, Cisticolidae.